CCUACGGGAGGCAGCAGUGAGGAAUAUUGGUCAAUGGGCGCGAGCCUGAACCAGCCAAGUCGCGUGAGGGAGGACGGCUCUACGGGUUGUAAACCUCUUUUGCCGGGGAGCAACGGGCGUCACGUGUGGCGCCACUGAGAGUAACCGGAGAAAAAGCAUCGGCUAACUCCGUGCCAGCAGCCGCGGUAAUACGGAGGAUGCGAGCGUUAUCCGGAUUUAUUGGGUUUAAAGGGUGCGUAGGCGGAUCGUUAAGUCAGUGGUCAAAUUGAGGGGCUCAACCCCUUCCCGCCAUUGAAACGGGCGUUCUUGAGUGGAAGAGAGGUAUGCGGAAUGCGUGGUGUAGCGGUGAAAUGCAUAGAUAUCACGCAGAACCCCGAUUGCGAAGGCAGCAUGCCGGCUUCCGACUGACGCUGAAGCACGAAAGCGUGGGGAUCGAACAGGAUUAGAUACCCUUGUAGUC
Molecule: ribosomal RNA, 460 nt
Filed under: uncultured bacterium
Lineage: Bacteria
Description: partial 16S ribosomal RNA
Rfam family: Bacterial small subunit ribosomal RNA
Source: RNAcentral